UACGUAGGAGGCGAGCGUUGUCCGGAGUUACUGGGCGUAAAGCGCACGCAGGCGGUCUCUUAAGUUUGUAGGGACAGGGCACAGCUCAACUGUGUCAGGCUUACGAAAACUGGGAGACUUGAGGGCUUCAGAGGGAUGGGGAAUUCCGGGUGGAGUGGUGAAAUGCGUAGAGAUCCGGAAGAACACCAAAGGCGAAGGCACCAUCCUGGGGAGUCACUGACGCUCGGGUGCGAAAGCCAGGGGAGCGAACGGG
Molecule: ribosomal RNA, 253 nt
Filed under: uncultured prokaryote
Also listed under: 1 other name
Description: partial 16S ribosomal RNA
Rfam family: Bacterial small subunit ribosomal RNA
Source: RNAcentral